This 253-nucleotide ribosomal RNA is filed under the name uncultured bacterium. RNAcentral's name for it is "partial 16S ribosomal RNA". It matches the Rfam family "Bacterial small subunit ribosomal RNA", at positions 524 to 776 of the family's 1533-position model. The record is from RNAcentral.
UACAGAGGGGGCAAGCGUUGUUCGGAAUUACUGGGCGUAAAGGGCGCGUAGGCGGCUGCUCAAGUCGGGUGUGAAAGCCCGGGGCUCAACCCCGGAACGGCACCCGAGACUGGGCGGCUCGAGACCGGGAGAGGUGGGUGGAAUACCCAGUGUAGAGGUGAAAUUCGUAGAUAUUGGGUGGAACACCGGUGGCGAAAGCGGCUCACUGGCCCGGUUCUGACGCUGAGGCGCGAAAGCGUGGGGAGCAAACAGG